RNAcentral lists this long non-coding RNA (258 nucleotides) under Mytilus galloprovincialis (Mediterranean mussel). Lineage: Eukaryota; Metazoa; Mollusca; Bivalvia; Mytilida; Mytilidae. The record is from RNAcentral.
CCAACCAAAAAUAGAAUGAUCUCAGGUGAGCAACACGAACCCAACCAAAAUAGAAUGAUCUCAGGUGAGCAACACGAACCCAACCAAAAUAGAAUGAUCUCGGGUGAGCAACACGAACCCAACCAAAAUAGAAUGAUCUCAGGUGAUUCAGAAGGGUAUGCAUAUUCUUCUUCAUAUUUAGCACCUGCUGUGUUGUUUAUGAAAGUUCAAAUUGAGAUAUAAGUCUAACUGGUAGAUCACACUCAUGGAAAAUGGGAC